AGCAGCCGCGGUAAUUCCAGCUCCAAUAGCGUAUAUUAAAGUUGUUGCAGUUAAAAAGCUCGUAGUUGAAUUUCGGGAUCAGUACGCCGGUCGUGCCUCCGGUAUGUACUGGUGUCACUGAUUCCUCCCUUCUGAAGAACCAUCAUGCCAUUAAUUUGGUGUGGUGGGAAAUCAGGACUGUUACUUUGAAAAAAUUAGAGUGUUUAAAGCAGGCUCGCGCUUGAAUACAUUAGCAUGGAAUAAUGAAAUAGGACGUUUAUCCUAUUUUGUUGGUUUCUAGGAUUGACGUAAUGAUUAAUAGGGAUAGUUGGGGGCAUUAGUAUUCAAUUGUCAGAGGUGAAAUUCUUGGAUUUAUUGAAGACUAACUACUGACGAAAGCAUUUGCCAAGGAUGUUUUCAUUAAUCAAGAACGAAAGUUAGGGAUCGAAGACGAUCAGAUACCGUCGUAGUCUUAACCAUAAACUAUGCCGACUAGGGGAUCGGGAUGAUGUUAAUUUUUUAAUGUACUCAUUCGGCGUAC
Molecule: ribosomal RNA, 520 nt
Filed under: uncultured Glomus
Lineage: Eukaryota; Fungi; Glomeromycota; Glomeromycetes; Glomerales; Glomeraceae
Description: SSU rRNA
Rfam family: Eukaryotic small subunit ribosomal RNA
Source: RNAcentral